Mytilus californianus (California mussel) is the source of this 687-nucleotide long non-coding RNA. RefSeq lists it as uncharacterized. Lineage: Eukaryota; Metazoa; Mollusca; Bivalvia; Mytilida; Mytilidae. The transcript is spliced from 2 exons. The record is from RefSeq and is a predicted model, not a curated record.
UCUGUAUCCUUAUCUCAAUAUAAAACGUUCAUAUCUCCAGUUUUGAUAUUAGACCUCUAAGUUCCAUACAUAUAUGUUGUUCAUUAAGGAAGAUUUCUGAAGAAUAACUAUGUCAAUAUUGAGUUAAACAGCACUGAUUGGUUUGUUUGUUGGUAUUACUUAUGGAGUGGGUGACAGAAUGAUUUAUGACAUCUCUGCACAGGCAAAGUGUACUGAGAUCACAAGAGGUCCUACGAGGGACUGCAGAUGGCCCGCAGGGAUGAAUAUGCAAGUGGAUCAGGUCGCAGCUGGAGGGAAGAUUGCUGCAUACAAAAUUCGAUGGUUUAGUGGUGCCUGGAGUAACUGGUACGUCCCAGGGUACAACGACAUGGACUGGAAAAUCAACCUUAACAACAUAAGAUGUUCAAUGCCGUACAAAGCCAACAGUCUAAGACGGGUGUGGUCAUACUUCUACGACCACACACACAAAUUUAUAGUUUGCAAGGCUUAGAAAUGGUGGACAAAAGAUCCAUUUAAUCAUAAUUUAAGAUGUAAUAUAUUAAUUUUUGUUAUUCAUUUACAUAACCGGUCGUGUUUUUUGUCAUAUCUGUAUUCAGUCUGUAGACAGCUCAUCCUUGCCCACACAACUCUAAGCUCAACUAAUGUAACAAUGCGUGUAAGAAAUAAAAAAAAAGCUUUACAAUUGUC